RNAcentral lists this long non-coding RNA (3231 nucleotides) under Capsicum annuum. RNAcentral's name for it is "long non-coding RNA (CANN_LNC004915)". Lineage: Eukaryota; Viridiplantae; Streptophyta; Magnoliopsida; Solanales; Solanaceae. The record is from RNAcentral.
UAAAUCCAACCCUUAAAUAGAUUAAAAAUUUAUAGUUAUACUCUCUUUUUGGUCAUUUAUAAGAAAAUAUAAAAUAAAAAAUAAACUGUUAAUUAAGAAGCUUCUUGUAAAAUCCCUAAACUUUGGUCACUCUAUGAUCUUCCAAAUUCCUCUAAAUGACAAUUCCUAGAAGUCCUAUAAGGUCUCGUAACCAACAUCUCUGCUCCAUUCUACUACAAUAUUUUAGUUAUGGUGUUCAAUUAUGAUACGAUAGUGGUGCGACAUCGAACUAGGGUAUUUAAUUUUUGCUUUUUUCUUUUUAUAUGACUGAUUUGAUUAUCAUGUUCGUGGUAUUCAUUUAUACAAUUUAGGUUCUAGUUAUUCUUUUUGUGGCAAAAUAUGACAUAUUUUCUCUUGAUGGUGGUAGUCCUAACCCUGCUUAUACUUCUCGAUUCAUGGCUUGACCGGGAGUUAUUUGAACUCCUUAUUUUUCUGCUCAUGGGUUACAUUUGUUUAUGUUGGUGCUAGUAUCCCCUUUGAUUUGUGUUGCUAUUGAUUUUUGUUGGUGGUACUUUAAAAAAAGAGAUAGAAAUACGUCUUGUUUUUUGAAAGAUUAUCUUCAGACUAUUCCACUUUAAUUUAGAGGUACAUCCAUUAUAUAUUAAAUUAAUGAGUAUGUCUUUCCCCAAUCAUUUUAAUCAUAUUUUGUGUUUUAACAUCUAUUUGAUUGAAUGUUCACGUUUUUGUUAUGACUUAUAUAAUGGGUAGUUGACAAAACGAUCUUGUAUUCACUGACAUUUUUUUCUUUCCUUUGAAGAUAAGCUUAGAAAUUUUUAAAUUUAGUUUUCUAGUGCUUCUUUUUUCUUCUGUGUUCAAGUCAUGACUUGUGAUCUUUUUAUCUUUUAUUUCUUGCUUAAUUUCAUUUCUUUUCUUAGUUUCCUUCGGAUACUUUUUCCAGUUGUGUUUAGUAUUGAUAGAGUUCUUCAGUGAAGUGUAUGUUUUAGCUCAUAUUUUGGUUUCAAAUUAAAUCUCCUAAGGACAUUACAUUUUGGAUUUCUGUUUGAAAAUACAGAGCAUUGUAAUAAUUUUUGUUUCAUAAUUUAGUUAUCUGAAUUUCUUUCUGGAAAUUCAAAGUGUUGUCACCUUAAACUCGGGACAAAGAGGACCCUUCUUGGUUUAUUUAUCAUUAGAAUGUUUCUUGUUAUCACAUUGUGUCUUCUUAAAUGGAUUUAUAUUUGACAAGGAAACCUUGUUUUGUACAGAUCUUGGGGAUUGCAAAUUAUUUUCUUCAGAUGGAUUUUGCGCAGCACUCAUGUAUGGUGCAUCAUUCCUAAUAGGACGUGUUCUAUUAGAAGCACGCCUCUCAGUCGCCAGAGCAAAUGGCUGGGGAACAUUGUACUUUGGGUUACAACUUCCAGCAACAGAUUUGGCUACUGGUUUCACUGAAGUUCUUAGUCUUCUGUUAUCAUCUUUUACUUUUGUACUUGGUUGAUCUUGUUCUUGUCUGCUCUCAACUAGAAUUUCAGUUGUGUAUUCCUUCGUUACAUAAUACUCCCUUUCAACAUUCUCAUUCAGAAUAUCAUUUCUCUACUCCCCAGUGACAUACUCAGGUGACUGCGACACAUCUAGAUUACCGUCUAUCAAGUAAUUUGAAUCCGGGAAACACAUCUGAGUAACUUAUUUUGCCACCCUGCUCCUUUUCCAUACAAGUAUGUGUAACUUCUAACCCCAUCAACCUCCUUAACAAGAAGGUGAAAGUUUAGGUAACCAUCUAAGCUAUCAGUAAUCGAACUUGAAACACACUUUAUAAUGCAACAUCCAUCUCAUUCAAAUCCUUAAAACCAUACAAAGAAAGAUACAAGACACUAAAGAAUAGUAGCAUAUUUUGGUUUUACCUAGUGAGCUAAAAUUCAUCUGCAGUGUCGUUAUAGAUGUCCUCUUGCUUAAUAUAACGUUUAGUGCCUAUUAUUGCUGCAGUAGUUAACUUUGCUUACGCACUUUUAAACAAAUUUGUAGAUCCAAAUGUGUGUGAACGUGGAGGUGGUGGAUUGUGAUAAAUUCUAAUGUGAAACUUUGAUCUUUGUUGUUGUUGAUACAUCGAUAGUUUUGCUAGUUGAUGGGAGUUCUUACAAAGAAAGGAGAAUGAAGUUGGUACUAUAUCAUUCAAGUGAGUAUAUGCCUUUGCCUCUUGUUAUAACUUGUAUUUAUAAAGUUUGCACUAUUAUACUAAAACAACUAUUUCGUUGAAAUGACACAUUAUUGUAAAAAGAGGUUAUCUCACCACUUAAAACUCUCUUAUAUUGAUUCCACAAAGGUAAGAACUACGAUUUCUAAUUUUUAUUUGAUAUAUGCCUUUGGAUAUUUCUGAUAUCCCAUUCUCUGUGUAGUUUGUAGUUACUUUGAAAAUUUAGCUCAUAUUCCCAUUAAAUAUUGUUAUAGUGCAAUGAUUCAUUUUCCACAUUUCUUGCAUGAUAGAAAUCAAAGAUUCAACUCUAAGAGGAUAUUUUAAGAUUUAAUCGGCUGUAAAAAAUAGAAACAAUAACAACAAUGCCUCUAUCUAAAGUUAGUUUGAGUUGGUUGUAUGAAUCAUCACUAUCAAAAGAUUUAAUUACCACUAAUAAUAAUAGUUUUUUUGUUGCUUCUUUCAUUUCAAUGUUAUUUCAUCUGCAUCACUAAAUGCAUCAAACUGGAAUUUCUUUCCUAUAGGAAAAUAGGAUAAAUUUGAACAGAAAUGGUAGUGGUCCUCUCCGGUCUACUAUAGUGACUACAUGUAUUGUCGAAUAUAACAAGAAUUUGUGUAUAAAAGUGUGUGCCAAUUUUCUUGAACCAUAUUUUGAUUUCAACUUUUUGUUUAUAUUCUUUUAGCUCAUUUUACAUUGAUUUUUUGAUUGCUAAAUGGUAAUAGCUACACUUAAAAGAAUGUGCCAGGUGAACUCUUCAAUCUUUGUUAGAUGUAAACUUGUAAAAAUAUAUUUAGAAACAGUUUUCUAAUAAAUGUGUAUAUAUUAUAUCUUUUUCAGGCAUUGAAUAGUUUUGUUAACAAGUGAAGUUGCAGAAAAAAAAAGACGUAGAUACAUGUUGACAAGUGUUAGGUGAACACUUGAUAUCGUUUGUAAAUAAAUGUUGGAUUUCUCAAGGAGUUUUGUAAACAAUAUAAUGAAUAUAUACUUGUAAUAGUUUUAAUUAUGAGAUUCAAUCCAAAAAUUUUUUGUAUACAUGUGAUUGUUUGUAUUAUAAAUUGUGUACCAUUGU